GGUCGAUGCCACUGCUGGUAAAGCUUUUAUUUCCUGAUGGUGUCUCCUUCUGGGUAGUCAUACCUUCUGUGAGGACAUGAAUUAUUAUUGAAAUGGUCAUAAUUAUAAAUUAAUUGUUUACAAAAAAGAAAUAAAAAAAAAAUGAAAUACUAAGGCUUUUCUACAUCAAGAAUAAAUGACCUUAGCUGUAUUUGACAAUUGUUUUGAUAAUAUUUGGUCUUCAACGCUUUUAAAUUUCGU
This 240-nucleotide long non-coding RNA is filed under the name Mytilus galloprovincialis (Mediterranean mussel). Lineage: Eukaryota; Metazoa; Mollusca; Bivalvia; Mytilida; Mytilidae. The record is from RNAcentral.